RNAcentral lists this unclassified non-coding RNA (192 nucleotides) under uncultured Hymenogaster. Its description in RNAcentral is "sequence contains ITS2". Lineage: Eukaryota; Fungi; Basidiomycota; Agaricomycetes; Agaricales; Hymenogastraceae. The record is from RNAcentral.
AAUUCUCAACCUUAUCAGUUUAUUUCUGAUAGUGGCUUGGAUGUGGGGGUUUCUCUUGCUGGCUCAGGUCAGCUCCCCUUAAAUGCAUUAGCUGGUGCCCCGUGUGGACUGUCUAUUGGUGUGAUAAUUAUCUACGCCAUGCAUGGAUGUCUGCUUAGCACUGCUUCUAACCGUCUUGGACAAUAUAUGACA